RNAcentral lists this ribosomal RNA (486 nucleotides) under uncultured bacterium. Its description in RNAcentral is "bacterial SSU rRNA". It matches the Rfam family "Bacterial small subunit ribosomal RNA", at positions 28 to 507 of the family's 1533-position model. The record is from RNAcentral.
GAUGAACGCUAGCGGCAGGCUUAACACAUGCAAGUCGAGGGGCAGCACAGUGUAGCAAUACAUGGGUGGCGACCGGCGCACGGGUGCGUAACGCGUAUCCAACCUUCCCGUUACUCUCGGAUAGCCUUCCGAAAGGGAGAUUAAUACGAGAUGGUGUUGAAAUUCCGCAUGUUAUUUCAACUAAAGAUUCAUCGGUAACGGAUGGGGAUGCGUGACAUUAGGUAGAUGGCGGGGUAACGGCCCACCAUGCCCACGAUGUCUAGGGGUUCUGAGAGGAAGGUCCCCCACACUGGAACUGAGACACGGUCCAGACUCCUACGGGAGGCAGCAGUGAGGAAUAUUGGUCAAUGGCCGGAAGGCUGAACCAGCCAAGUAGCGUGAAGGAUGAAGGCUCUAUGGAUUGUAAACUUCUUUUAUACGGGAAUAAAACCACCUACGUGUAGGUGCUUGUAUGUACCGUAUGAAUAAGCAUCGGCUAACUCCGUG